GGCCGGUUAGCCCAGUCAGUAGGGCGUGGCGCUAACAAUACUAAGGUCACGGGUUCGAUUCCCGUUCAGUCCC
Molecule: transfer RNA, 73 nt
Filed under: Apaloderma vittatum (bar-tailed trogon)
Lineage: Eukaryota; Metazoa; Chordata; Aves; Trogoniformes; Trogonidae
Rfam family: tRNA
About the family: Transfer RNA (tRNA) molecules are approximately 80 nucleotides in length.
Source: Rfam by way of RNAcentral